AAUGUACUCCCUUCGUUCUAAAUUAGAUGAUUUCCAUCUAUUUAAAGAUAGAUGUACUAGACAUACUACAAGUUUAGAUACAUACACGUUUGAACAAAUGGAAAUCGUCUAAUUUGGAUCGGAGGGAGUACUAG
Molecule: non-coding RNA, 134 nt
Organism: Triticum aestivum (bread wheat)
Lineage: Eukaryota; Viridiplantae; Streptophyta; Magnoliopsida; Poales; Poaceae
Source: Rfam